Molecule: long non-coding RNA, 3651 nt
Filed under: Salmo salar (Atlantic salmon)
Lineage: Eukaryota; Metazoa; Chordata; Actinopteri; Salmoniformes; Salmonidae
Description: lncRNA (ENSSSAG00000099355.1)
Source: RNAcentral
UGCCCGGAGUAGAUGUAGGUUCCCACUGAAGUUUGGAUGCACGUCUUAUCAUUGGACCCAGACUUCGGGCCUCAAAGCCGUUUCCGACAGCAAGUGUGACGUGUGGUGCGGACUCUGCUCCCAACAGAUACCAGGACUUCAGGUGAGGUUGUAAUAUGACUGGGGCUGCUACCCCCUCUUGUCCACAAACAAUGGUGCAGCACCUAAUGGUAGGCGUGAGGGGCAUCAUGUUUUCAUCCCAGUCAUCUGUGUAUGGGUUGUCGUCAUUUUCUGUGACGUUCAGGGUACAGUGUACCUCUGCCAGUGGUGUCUUGUAUGGAUGUAGCGUGUAGAUUCUUGGUUUCAGCUGAUUAAAUUGGAACUGGAUGCGUGGGGUCCCUAUUCCUGUCUGGACACACUUAAGCCAAUAGAUUUCUUGUGUAGCCGACAGGACAGGGGCUGGUAAAAUUGGAAGCAUGAGGACUUUAACCGGUUUGGCCAUGGUGGAGGGAACGGGGCCCGUGGUGACUUCUACCCCAUUGUGUGUAAGAUAUAUGGAGCAUUGUAGUUUGCACAAGAGGUCCCUUCCCAACAGAUUGAUUGGACAGUUAGGGCAGUACAAGAACUGAUGAGUAUGCAUCAUACUUCCCCACGAGAAGGUUAAGGGAACUGUUUUCUUUUGAGCUUCGGGGUUACCAGUCACCCCCACCACCUGAAUGAAUUCCGAAGAUAGUUGUUGACGGGAUCGGAUUGCGGAGUAUGUACAGCCAGUGUCAACUAGAAAUUGAUGGGUUACUCCCUCAACUUCACACAGAACAGUGGGUUCAGUGUGGAGUGGAAAGAGCUCCCGUCCUCCCCCGUCAGGUGGUGGUGGGCAUCUUCAUGGCCAUGGUGCGUAUUCAUCAGCCAUACCCUGGAAGCUGGACGAUUGUUGACCGGGAUCCGGGUUGGCGUGAUUAUAUGCAGGAUGAGGCUGUGGUCCAGGGUAACGUUGUGGGCGGGGCCCACCUCUUCCCCUACCCAUGAACUGAGAGCUUCCUCUGUUAGCCAGCCAUUGUUGAGUAGAUUGGGUCAGUGCCUGCGGGCAGUUUCGAGCCAUAUGCCCAUGUUGUCUGCAAUUGUAGCAUUGCAUACCUCCCCCCCUCCAUUGACCCCCUCGCCACUGUGUUGGAUAGGCCGGCUGAGUCAUCCAUGGUGUUGGAUAACCCAGCUGUGGUGGUGGGUAGAUCCCUGGGGCUGCCAUAGGCAUGGGUUGGGGCAUGGGCUGCAUCACUUGAGGGACCCCCUCGGCGACGGGAGUCGGCUGAGUCUGCUGUUGCUGCAUCAUCUGUGUUACGGUUUUCUCGAUGACCUGAGACAAAUCUUCUGGUUUUUCCAUCAUCUGUUUUUUUUUAUCACCCUUCUGGGCUUCUUUCAAUUGCAAUUUCAGUAGUUGUACUUGAAGGGACUGGACUUGAGUGUCCGCGCCCCCCUUGUCUUUGUAGUAUUGGGUGAGGUGGUGGUGAGUGUGAGAGUUGAACUGUGGCAGGGGAAGUGCCAUCAGUCCCACAGUGUUCCUGAGUUUCACUUUCACUUCUCCAGGGCACCCAUUCACCACCAUCUCUUUCCACAUGCUGAGCGUGGUUUCAGUGUGGUCAUAUGGUUCCUCAUGCACAGUCCUCCAUGUUGUUUUUGCCCUGUCCAAGUAAGCCGCAGGUUGUUCCCCCGGAGUGAUGGUAAAAGAGGACAGGGUUGCAUGGUUCUUCUCAGUUGGAUAUGCCCGACGCAACACACCCCAUAGUGCCUGACGAAUCCCCUCCAUGAAGGCUAGGCAGUUGUUCCAUCAGGGUGGUGAGAUCUGUCAUUUUCCAUGGCUGGUACUCUUCGAAUCGGGGGUCUGUUGUGGGCCUGAGUGGUAGCUGCAUGGCGGAGCUAUAACCCCCGUUCUGAUCCCAGUCUGUCCUUGAAGUCACUCCCUGAGCCCUUAGGUUCUCCAGACGGACUGACUUUCUGACCGGGUCAACCAGGUCCGUUAUCUUUCCAGUCAUCACCCCCUCCACAUGGAAAGUUCCUCCUUCCUUUUCAGAUUUUUCAAUCAGGGAUUUCGCCAGGGCUAGUGACUCAUUCACCUCCCUUCGUAGGUUGUCGAUCUCCAUGUCUCUGGGGGUGUGACUCGUUCCUCCUUCUUCAUUCUCGCUUGGUAGAUUGUCGUGCGAGUUACGGGAUACCAAACUAGUCUUUGGGGAAGUGAACCCACAUCUCACAUAGUGUUGUGGGUUGAAGUCAGGAGUGAACGGUCUUGGGGUUGAGCUGUAUUUUCCUCCCGGCAUGGUCAUGAGGGAGGAGGUUCCUUCACUUCCCUCUCCUUCUUCUUCAACUUCCUCGCAGACCAAGUGUCCACCCUUUACACCCAUUGUGACGGACCCCAUUAAUUCUCCACCCUUUACGGCGAAUACCGGAGCCUGUACAGCAGGUGGCGGGGUGAAUGGUCCCGUUCUGAAAGGGUUCAACGACUUCCCCCCCACUGUGGGCCCUUGAGUGUAGGGUGGUGGUUCGGUUGGUAGUUCCGGAUAUAACCGGGUCGUCGGCAGGGGGGUCUCUCCAUCUUGUUUUGGUCCUGUGUUUGAGUCGGUCUCUGUAGAAGUCACAAUCCCCAUCAUGUCUGGUUUUUUAUAAGGGAGUGCCCUUCUAGUCUCCUCUAUCGCCCAGGUCCCUAUUCUCAACUCUGCCUCCGCCUUCUCUCUGUUCUUGGUUCCUUCUUUUUUAAACAUAUACGUUUUAUUUCUUUCCUUUUCAUUUUCUGUGCUUUUUUUAACUCCCUCCUUUAAACCUGCCUCCAUCUCCAUCAAUUGGCCUUUAGUCGGAGCCCCCCCGCUAAAGUAUCCUGCCUGUGUCCAUCUCAACUUUACUUCCUCCCACACUUUCCGUAUUGCCUUAUAUUGUUCCUUACCUCCUGCUCUAUCCUGUAUUUUUUUAUCCAAAAAUUCACAAAAUUUAAGUUUAAUUGGUUGGCUUAUUGCCAUUAUGUUUUACAAUUUAGUCCCUCUAGCUUUGUAAACUUAGCCCGUCGCUGGUUGGGACCAGCGAUGUAUUCUCGGUGCGGACACCGACUUAACUCUGGUGCCUCACCCUCGUAAACAAAGUGUUAAUAAUUGCCAAAUGGUUUGUCUAAUACACCCCAAUCCCGACAGCACGGCGGCCCCUCUACUUUAUUUCAGAAUUGUUUCAGUCCUAAUCGGUUAUCGACUUAGUUGUUUAUGUCUCAUGGAACAAACCCUUAUUUCGCACCCAUUUACCAGACAGAGAAUAAUUAUUGGACCCUUAAGAUAAAGUUCCAUCAGAUAUCACAAAUACAAUAUAACAAAUUGUGUCACCUAUACAAUCUACCGGGCAGAGAAUAGUUCGCUGACAUCCGGGACAUAGCUAAACAGUUAUAACAAUAUUAUUUUAUUUUUAAAUUCAUCCGACUUUUCAUUGGUGGUCCCGGCAGGUUGCCACUCCAGCCGUCCUCCAAUGUCACAAAUGAUUAUGCUAUCAAAAGUAUGUCACACAGACUCUUUAUCUACUUUUAAUUGAUCUGAAUAAUAUGGGUGGACUCAACUGGUUGCCACGUCAGUCGUCCCCCAAGUCAACAGAUAUAUUCUAUCAAUGAUGGGCCCACACAGGCCGGGUCCACACAGGACGGGUCCACAC